This 24-nucleotide microRNA is filed under the name Oryza sativa (Asian cultivated rice). Its description in RNAcentral is "osa-miR5143b". RNAcentral also lists the same sequence under 1 other name. Lineage: Eukaryota; Viridiplantae; Streptophyta; Magnoliopsida; Poales; Poaceae. The record is from miRBase by way of RNAcentral.
UGUGGUAUGUUGGCAAUGUAGGAA